GCAUAUCAAUAAGCGGAGGAAAAGAAACCAACAGGGAUUGCCUCAGUAACGGCGAGUGAAGCGGCAAGAGCUCAAAUUUGAAAUCUGGCUCCGUUCGGGGUCCGAGUUGUAAUUUGGAGAGGAUGCUUCGGGACUGGCCCCCAUCUAAGUGCCCUGGAACGGGCCGUCAUAGAGGGUGAGAAUCCCGUCUGGGAUGGGUGGCCUGGCCCGUGUGAAGCUCCUUCGACGAGUCGAGUUGUUUGGGAAUGCAGCUCUAAAUGGGUGGUAAAUUUCAUCUAAAGCUAAAUAUUGGCCGGAGACCGAUAGCGCACAAGUAGAGUGAUCGAAAGAUGAAAAGCACUUUGAAAAGAGAGUUAAACAGCACGUGAAAUUGUUGAAAGGGAAGCGCUUGCAACCAGACUCGCCCGGGGGGGCUCAACCGGCACUCGUGCCGGUGCACUCCCCCCCGGGCGGGCCAGCGUCGGUUUGGGCGGUCGGUCAAAGGUCCCCGGAAUGUAUCACCUCUCGGGGUGUCUUAUAGCCGGGGAUGCAAUGCGACCAGCCCGGACCGAGGAACGCGCUUCGGCUCGGACGCUGGCGUAAUGGUUGUAAGCGGCCCGUCUUGAAACACGGACC
This 615-nucleotide ribosomal RNA is filed under the name Sagenomella griseoviridis. Its description in RNAcentral is "eukaryotic LSU rRNA". It matches the Rfam family "Eukaryotic large subunit ribosomal RNA", at positions 38 to 667 of the family's 3401-position model. The record is from RNAcentral. Lineage: Eukaryota; Fungi; Ascomycota; Eurotiomycetes; Eurotiales; Trichocomaceae.